UUUGAUCCUGGCUCAGGACGAACGCUGGCGGCGUGCUUAACACCUGCAAGUCGAACGGUAAGGCCCCUUCGGGGGUACACGAGUGGCGAACGGGUGAGUAACACGUGAGCAACCUGCCCUUGACUCUGGAAUAACAGUUGGAAACAGCUGCUAAUACCGGGUAUGACCUGUCACCGCAUGGUGGUGGGUGGAAAGUUCUGGCGGUCAGGGAUGGGCUCGCGGCCUAUCAGCUAGUUGGUGAGGUAAUGGCUUACCAAGGCUUCGACGGGUAGCCGGCCUGAGAGGGCGACCGGCCACACUGGGACUGAGAUACGGCCCAGACUCCUACGGGAGGCAGCAGUGGGGAAUAUUGCACAAUGGGCGAAAGCCUGAUGCAGCAACGCCGCGUGCGGGAUGACGGCCUUCGGGUUGUAAACCGCUUUCAGUAGGGACGAAGCUAGCGUGACGGUACCUACAGAAGAAGCACCGGCCAACUACGUGCCAGCAGCCGCGGUGAUACGUAGGGUGCGAGCGUUGUCCGGAAUUAUUGGGCGUAAAGGGAUUGUAGGCGGUUCGUCGCGUCGAAAGUGAAAACUCAGGGCUCAACCCUGAGCCUGCUUUCGAUACGGGCGGACUAGAGGUAUGCAGGGGGAGAACGGAAUUCCUGGUUGGAGCGGUGGAACGCGCAGAUAUCAGGAGGAACACCGGGUGGCGAAGGCGGGUUCUCUGGGCAUUACCUGACGCUG
This 725-nucleotide ribosomal RNA is filed under the name uncultured bacterium. Its description in RNAcentral is "bacterial SSU rRNA". It matches the Rfam family "Bacterial small subunit ribosomal RNA", at positions 12 to 748 of the family's 1533-position model. The record is from RNAcentral.